This 336-nucleotide ribosomal RNA is filed under the name alpha proteobacterium K-2057b. RNAcentral describes it as "bacterial SSU rRNA". It matches the Rfam family "Bacterial small subunit ribosomal RNA", at positions 1133 to 1467 of the family's 1533-position model. Lineage: Bacteria; Pseudomonadati; Pseudomonadota; Alphaproteobacteria. The record is from RNAcentral.
GAGCACUCUAAGGAGACUAGCCGGUGAUAAGCCGCGANGAAGGUGGGGAUGACUUCAAGUCCUCAUGGCCCUUACGGGCUGGGCUACACACGUGCUACAAUGGCGGUGACAAUGGGACGCUAAGGGGCAACCCUUCGCAAAUCUCAAAAAGCCGUCUCAGUUCGGAUUGGGCUCUGCAACUCGAGCCCAUGAAGUUGGAAUCGCUAGUAAUCGUGGAUCAGCAUGCCACGGUGAAUACGUUCCCGGGCCUUGUACACACCGCCCGUCACACCAUGGGAGUUGGUUUUACCUGAAGGUAGUGCGCUAACCGCAAGGGGGCAGCUAACCACGGUAGGG